CCGGGAGGCAGGGUGCACUUGAAGUAUUGGAAACAUUGCUUCAAAGAUCUGUGCGCUCUGAAGGAUGCUAAAUGCGGCGCGACUGGCGGUGCUGGGGAGACAGGAUUCCCCCGGCCGUCUUUUAUGGGGAAUCUCUUCUUCCCCUUCAUCCCUACGUCCUAUUCUAGCCGCCGACCAACUUGGUGCCUGGGAUUGCCUCGCUCGUGGAUGUAGAACCUGGAACCGCGGGAGGGUGAGCGCUAAUGAGAGUCCUUUGGGGAUGCCGUGGGGUUGCCACGGGGCUGGGGUGCUGGCGAAAGAGGAGCUGUUUGCACGUUGUAGAGCCACCGGGGAAAGGACUGGAGGAGCGAGGCCGUGUUCCAGGGCACAGCACAGAGCGUUUGCGGAAGGAUUGACAGGCGGAGUAGACCUAACCAGUGUGCUCCGAGCACAUCUGGGCAUAGUUAAUUUGGGAAAUACUUCAUCUUUCAGAUGCUUUCCCUUAGAUUUACAUCAUCUGGAGCUCUGGAGCCGAGCUGCUGCCCUGGGCGGGUGCACGGAGGACAGAACCCUCAGUUACAGCUGGGUAACCCCGGACCUGAAUGGAGGGGGCCUGAACAACCAGAGGUGGACGUUUUCUGCGAAUGCAGGGCCACUGGUCCAGAGGUCUAACCACCCCUGACUCCUCUUGCCAGAGAUUGGAGCACUGGGGUGAGUAGUUUGCUGCCAUCCCAGUACUAAGCCAGUCUCUCUGCUCGUUCUGCCGACUUAGUUUCCUACCAAAGGAGUGAUUGCCUUUCUCUCUUGUGACCAGUGCCAUUUUAUAACUUCCUUGUAAUCCAAUGAAUUGCUGAGUUCCCUUUUAUACAGGCAAAACAAUAACAACAACUAAAAAAACCCGAAUACUUAUUGCUGUUACCCUGUGUCUGCCUGGAAUUUGGCCCUGCCCUGUGGGAAUUCAGGUUCCUCAUGUUUGCGCUCAGAACUUGGUGCCCUGGGUCUCCUGCCUUGUUCUUGCUUUGUUAGACGUGGCUUUUGAAACUUGGACACCUGUAUAUAAGCUGCCUUUUUCUACUCAUUUACUGCGUCAUCCUUUCCCAAAACCCGAUAUAGACUGAUCUCCCAGGUUAGGGCUACUUCUGAACCCAUGUUUUUGCUACCUGCAUGCACUCUCAAUGGAAAGCUCUGAUGCCCACAGUGGUCUAGGUCCCAGGUUGUGCGUGAUGGCUCCGCCAUCCACUGACCACAUUCUGGUCCUGACAAUCAUUGCACUGAAUCUAAUUUUGACGACAGUGUGCAUAUGAGCUUGACAUUGAAAUAUUUGAAAAGCCAGGAAUAUUAAAAGCAACUGCUCAUUAUACACAUAUAACUUGAUUAUAGACAAUGCCUAUGUUUGAUUUUCAACAAAAGGUUUUUAGUGACUCUUCAGCAAUGUUAGAAGUCAUGUUGAAUUUCUUGCAUUCUAAUGAAACGGCCGUAAUUCAAUUAUUAUGUAACAUUAGUAUUUUCUUUCAAGUAUUCUUAUUUCACUCUUGUCUCUAAAUUUCAGCUGCUUAAAAUGACUUCAACUCUUAUUAGGGUAAUUUUGGUUGUUUCUCUGAUUUCCAGACUUGUAAGUGCUAUGAAUCUGCAGUUCACCUUGGAAAGAGAACUAUUUCAAGUUGAAGGUGAAUGACCUCACACGUUCUCCAAAAUGUCUAAUAGAUUCCCAGCACAGUCCUACUUCAGUCUUAGGGCACAGCUGUAGGUACAGGACUGAUGCCAUCUGGUGUAAUUUCACAACAUCAGAGGGAAUUCAGCCAGAGUGGGCCAUGCGCUGGCUUUUCUGGGAAAGAUGUGCUGCCAAGAUUUGUUUUGGAUUCACUUGCAGGGGUGAGAACUUGGAAUUAGGUGAGUGCAAACUAUGCAGUACCCCGUUUUUAGGCUGGCAUUUUAUGUUUCCAGUUCUGUCUGUAGUUUCAAAAUAAGUACAAAAAGAGUGAAGUUUUUUUAAAUGGCUGAAAUUUUAAACAUUGUGGAAUGGUUAAACCGUUUAGGAUUGUGGGAAAUGCUUCCUUUUCCUAACUCAUCCUUUCUAAUCUAGGGACGUGUAGGAUAGUGAUGGUCCUAAUGCAGUACUCAGAAAGUAUCAGCAGGUACUGUUCUAGGUCGUCACUGGUACAGCUGCUCUGAGGCACUUGGGCUGACGUACGCUAAAUCCACAGUUAAGUCUGCUCUGGGAUCACUGGGAAAUCUCGGCCCCAUGUCUGUGUCCCAUGCAGGGCGGAUUGAGUGGUAGGUGUCUGGUGCUGAUUUUUGGUUGUUGUUUGAAUCAGUGAAAUAAAUUCUCAAUUCUCCAUUUCUCACUUCGUGUACACAAAAUAAAGUUAUACAUUAAGUAAUGAUCUGAUUAACUAUCUUAAUAGUUAGCAUCUUACCCUGUAAGAAUUUGGGUAAUCAGAAGGGCAGACCUGUGUUUCGAACAGUAAUCAGAACAUAAUGGGCACUCAGAAAACUUCCAGAUGGGUUGAGCUAAAAAGCCUUAUUUUCAUUAAUAACAGCUAUUUUAUAUAAGCCGAACCAUUUCCUCCAUUCUUGAUCUGUGUAGACAUGGGUGGGUUCAAGUUGAAAUUUUUGUGCUCAGCUUUUGUUUUAUUUAUAUGACUCUGAAGUUACUUGAACUUACUGAAUAUGUAUAGAUUCUUCAGGCAAGAUAUUUUCUACUUUCAGAUGGAAAUCUUGCUUUCCUAUUGGGAAUCCAGGUGGAUUGCUACCUUGAAGUUACUGCACUGAACAGUGGCUUAAACAAAGCAGGGGUUUUGUUCUCUAGUAACAAGGAGGUUGGGGUAGGUGAUUGCUGUGUUGGUUCAGCAGCUCACAGAUGUCAGGGUCAGGGUGGCCUCUCGGGUGCCCUUGCCUUUCCCUCAGGUGGCUGCAGUUCCCCUAAAGAAGCUGGAGAAGGCCAAAGGUCAUGCCAGUUCGAAUUGCUCCCUUUUAGAGAGUUUUCUCAGCCGCCCAACAACUGCCAGACUGUGUCACUGGCUACUGCUAUCCACAGAGUGGCCUGAGAAAUAUAGUCUUGGUAGCUGGGCAUAUAACUGCCUUCAACAAAAAUCUGAGUUCUCGUCAUGAGGUAGAUGAUGAUAGAUCUGGAGUGAACAACUAGCCUGUGUCCUGGCUACAAAGUACAGCUGUAAAGGCGCACAGCUUCGGGGCAGAUCAGCACUCUAGCACCUUCACAGGUGGCCGCCCGCCCAGCACCGCUGCUCUGCUCGCAGAGAGCGAGCGCAGAGUGAAGACGGGCUAGGCUUUCUUGCCAGCACUUGCCAAGACUGAGCUGGACUCUCAGCCAAUACACUUGCCCACAUCAGGAUUUUCCAGAGGAGGACCCUGGGAACGUGCACACUCCCUUGGUGGACAUACUCUCUUUAUGGAGGUUCGGAAUGGCAUGAAGAAUAUUCCUACCUUGCUGCUUCCUCAUCGGCUUCAUGUUUCUCUUCUCCAAUUUUCCUGACAGAUUUUUGGAGGAGUCUUGUUUGUGUAUGUGAUCUCCAUACAAGGAUCAUCCCUUUCAUGCCCAGAGGAGGGUCUAUGUAAAGAAAGCUGCUUUACCCCUUUUUGUGACUCCACUACCAAUCUAGGAAUCUCCUGGGUGAAAAACUGCUUCUCAAAACUGCUUCUAUAAGCAGCCCACACCCUGGCUAAGCAAAGGGAGAGGAAACACUUCCCACGUCCAGGGCUGUUCAAAAGAACUUUCUGUGAUGACAGAAAUGUUCUGUCUGCACUGUCCAAGAGGGCAGCCCCUAGCCCCAGUGAACACUUGAAAUGUGGCUAGUGUGACAUUUACAUAAAAAGUACAUUGUAAGUAAUGUAAAUGCAAGUGGCCACGUGUGGCUGGUGGCUGUGGUGUGGCACAGCGGGGCACACACGGCAUCUUGCACUUUAGAGCCAGCUGGGAGGGGUUUGAGCCAGCCCUGCGCCAGGCGUUCCGUGGUCUUCACUAUUCCGCCUUGCCGUUGAACUUGUCUUCUGGAGAAAAAGGAAAAAAUGGAACUAAAUUCAAGAUGUUCACUUGACAUCUCCUCAUUGCACGCAUAAUGGAGAGGGGUCUCCUGGGAAUCGGUCCUGUGAUUGAUUUUAGCGAUUAUUGAUAAUGGGAAAAUGGCGGAGCUGAUCCACGUAGCAAUUCCUAGGGAACAUUGUGUGUUCCUGGUCAGAUAAGUCAGCGGAGAUUAUUUUGUUCUAUUGUGCAAUUCAUUGUGUUACUUUAUUUUUGUUGUAUUAUGGCUGCUAAAUGAUGAUUUCGUGUAUGUUUUUCAAAAUACUUAGUGGUUUAUAUUUUUUUAAAGGCUGUGAAAUAAAAAAUAA
RNAcentral lists this long non-coding RNA (4326 nucleotides) under Rhinolophus ferrumequinum (greater horseshoe bat). RNAcentral's name for it is "lncRNA (ENSRFEG00010008072.1)". Lineage: Eukaryota; Metazoa; Chordata; Mammalia; Chiroptera; Rhinolophidae. The record is from RNAcentral.